Molecule: long non-coding RNA, 474 nt
Filed under: Triticum aestivum (bread wheat)
Lineage: Eukaryota; Viridiplantae; Streptophyta; Magnoliopsida; Poales; Poaceae
Description: long non-coding RNA (TAES_LNC026678)
Source: RNAcentral
UUAUGUUCUAUAAAGAUUUAUUGUGAAUAGUCAUGCUAAUACACCCCAUGAUAUGGCAUUGUUAUUAUUUUUAGCAAACCUACACUGAUAUUUGCUUAGCUAGUUAACAUCACAGUUUCCUUUAUUGGAGCCUUGGAGUAGUCUAUGCACAUUGUACACCUGCACAAUUUGCCAACAAUAUGAGCCUCCAAAUUGCAUUCCUUGUUCUCAGGGCACGUUAGGAUUCGGUGGCAAUCUUCCUAACAACCACCAAACUUCUUCAGGUAUUUAAACGUACACCUUCGGUUUGUAUCCGCAUCUGCAAAAUAUUACCAACAAGAAGAAAUCCAAAUCAUGAAAAGAACAUUUUUGUUAAUUGGGUUGAUGCAACACUCUUGGAGGAACCAAUUAAACGUACUUGAUGCUAGCACGAGAAAGGCGAGUGUCAGGAGUAGUGUCAAAGCUGCAAUCUUCAUCCUAACUUGUAUGUGGCGU